CCAUUUCAGCACUGACCCUAGAAGCACAGAUCAUGUGGUCAUCAUCAGUCAUUAAGGUUAAAACAGCUCUCAAGAUCAAGACUCUUCACCUCAGGAGCGCCUGGGUGGCUCAGUUGGUUAAGUGUCUGCCUUUGAUUCAGGUUGUGAUCUGAGUCCUGAGAUCGGGUCCGCUCCCUGCUCACUGCUUGUGCUCUCUCUCUCUCUCUCUGUCAAAUAAAGAAAACCUUAAAAAAAAAAAAAAAGACAUUUCACCUCAGAUCUCUUAUUUUCUUCUCUUGCUGCAAUGGAAUUGAAAAACAGCCACCACCUCCUUAUGCAUAAACAUUUUUCCUACAUGUAAAAGUCAUGCCCAGAAUCACAGAGUUUAGGGCUCGAAGUCCCCAUAUGGA
This 389-nucleotide long non-coding RNA is filed under the name Canis lupus familiaris (dog). Its description in RNAcentral is "lncRNA (ENSCAFG00845003584.1)". Lineage: Eukaryota; Metazoa; Chordata; Mammalia; Carnivora; Canidae. The record is from RNAcentral.